GGGGGGGGGGGGGGGGGGGGGGGGGGGAGGGGGGGCGAGCGGGGGGGGGGGGCGGGGGGGGGGGGGUCGAGUGGCGAACGGGUGAGGAACACGUGAGUAACCUGCCCUUGACGUUGGGAUAACUUCAGGAAACUGGGGCUAAUACCGGAUAGGAGCUCCUGCUGCAUGGUGGGGGUUGGAAAGGUUCGGCGGUUGGGGAUGGACUCGCGGCUUAUCAGCUUGUUGGUGGGGGAGGGGCUUACCAAGGCUUUGACGGGUAGCCGGCCUGGGAGGGUGACCGGCCACAGUGGGACUGAGAUACGGCCCAGACUCCCACGGGAGGCAUCAGUGGGGAAUAUUGCACAAUGGGCGGAAGCCUGAUGCAGCAACGCCGGGUGGGGGAUGACGGCCUUCGGGUUGUAAACCGCGUUCGCCUGUGACGAAGCGUGAGUGACGGUAAUGGGUAAAGAAGCACCGGCUAACUACGUG
This 468-nucleotide ribosomal RNA is filed under the name uncultured bacterium. RNAcentral describes it as "partial 16S ribosomal RNA". The stretch from base 52 to 468 matches the Rfam family "Bacterial small subunit ribosomal RNA", at positions 39 to 507 of the family's 1533-position model. The record is from RNAcentral.